RNAcentral lists this ribosomal RNA (458 nucleotides) under uncultured bacterium. RNAcentral's name for it is "bacterial SSU rRNA". It matches the Rfam family "Bacterial small subunit ribosomal RNA", at positions 30 to 524 of the family's 1533-position model. The record is from RNAcentral.
AUUGAACGCUGGCGGCAUGCCUAACACAUGCAAGUCGAACGGGAUCCUAGCUUGCUAGGUGAGAGUGGCGGACGGGUGAGUAACACGUGGGAAUCUGCCUUUUGGUUCGGGAUAACCGCGGGAAACUGCGGCUAAUACCGAAUGCCCUCGAGAGAGGAAAGAUUUAUCGCCAGAAGAGGAGCCCGCGUCCGAUUAGGUAGUUGGUGGGUAAAGGCCUACCAAGCCGACGAUCGGUAGCUGGUCUGAGAGGAUGAUCAGCCACACUGGGACUGAGAUACGGCCCAGACUCCUACGGGAGGCAGCAGUGGGGAAUAUUGGACAAUGGGGGCGAACCCUGAUCCAGCAAUGCCGCGUGAGUGAUGAAGGCCUUAGGGUUGUAAAGCUCUUUUGCCAGGGAAGAUGAUGACUGUACCUGGAGAAUAAGCCCCGGCUAACUUCGUGCCAGCAGCCGCGGUAAU